UCCACAGAGCAGUCUAUGGCCACCUUGAAA
This 30-nucleotide non-coding RNA is filed under the name Rattus norvegicus (Norway rat). Lineage: Eukaryota; Metazoa; Chordata; Mammalia; Rodentia; Muridae. The record is from RNAcentral.